Molecule: ribosomal RNA, 468 nt
Filed under: uncultured bacterium
Lineage: Bacteria
Description: partial 16S ribosomal RNA
Rfam family: Bacterial small subunit ribosomal RNA
Source: RNAcentral
GACGAACGCUGGCGGCGUGCUUAACACAUGCAAGUCGAACGGAAAGGCCCUGCUUUUGUGGGGUGCUCGAGUGGCGAACGUGUGAGUAACACGUGAGUAACCUGCCCUUGACUUUGUGAUAACUUCAGGAAACUGGGGCUAAUACCGUAUAGGGGCUCCUGCUGCAUGGUGUGGGUUGGAAAGUUUCGGCGGUUGGGGAUGGACUCGCGGCUUAUCAUCUUGUUGGUUGGGUAGUGGCUUACCAAGGCUUUGACGGGUAGCCGGCAUGAGAGGGUGACCGGCGACAUUGGGACUGAGAUACGGCACAGACGCCUACGGGAGGCAGCAGUGGGGAAUAUUGCACAAUGGGCGGAAGCCUGAUGCAGCAACGCCGCGUGCGGGAUGACGGCCUUCGGGUUGUAAACCGCUUUCGCCUGUGACGAAGCGUGAGUGACGGUAAUGGGUAAAGAAGCACCGGCUAACUACGUG